This 233-nucleotide unclassified non-coding RNA is filed under the name plant metagenome. RNAcentral's name for it is "partial contains small subunit ribosomal RNA, internal transcribed spacer 1, and 5.8S ribosomal RNA". The record is from RNAcentral.
UUUCCGUAGGUGAACCUGCGGAAGGAUCAUUACUGAGUGAGGGCCCUCUGGGUCCAACCUCCCACCCGUGUUUAUUAUACCUUGUUGCUUCGGUGAGCCCGCCUCACGGCCGCCGGGGGGCAUCUGCCCCCGGGCCCGCGCCCACCGAAGACACCUAGAACUCUGUAUGAAGAUUGCAGUCUGAGCAAAAACUAAAUAUGUUAAAACUUUCAACAACGGAUCUCUUGGUUCCG